GGGGGUCUCCAUGGCGCCCGCGCCGCCAAUCCGCCCAUUCCAGUAGCGGCGCCAGUUCGCCGGCCUGCGUGCCCUAACGGAGCCCAGCCGAACCCGGGCGGCGGGGCCGGCACCUCCUCCAAUCCCUCCUGCUCGCUCGCUCCCAGCCGUUGCGCCGCCGCGCUGCCCGGGUCGUGCGUCCCGGCUGCCCUAAGCCGCUUCACCGAGGAGAGCCUGGCGCACCCCGCCAGGCCCGCCGACAUCUGCUGCGUGUCCGGUUCCGCUCUCCGCGCCCCCGCUGCAGUCGGCGCUGCCUCGAUGUUCCAGUUGCCCAUCUUGAAUUUCAGUCCCCAGCAAGUGGCCGGGGUAUGCGAGACUCUGGAGGAGAGCGGCGACGUAGAGCGCCUGGGUCGCUUCCUCUGGUCGCUGCCCGUGGCCCCUGCGGCCUGUGAGGCCCUCAACAAGAAUGAAUCGGUGCUGCGCGCGCGAGCCAUCGUGGCCUUUCACGGCGGCAACUACCGCGAGCUCUAUCAUAUCCUGGAAAACCACAAGUUCACCAAGGAGUCGCACGCCAAGCUGCAGGCGCUGUGGCUCGAAGCGCAUUACCAGGAGGCUGAGAAGCUGCGUGGACGGCCCCUGGGGCCGGUGGACAAGUACCGCGUGAGGAAGAAGUUCCCGCUGCCGCGCACCAUUUGGGACGGCGAACAGAAGACACACUGCUUCAAGGAGCGCACGAGGCAUCUGCUACGGGAAUGGUAUCUGCAGGACCCAUACCCUAACCCCAGCAAAAAGCGUGAGCUCGCCCAGGCAACCGGACUGACCCCUACGCAGGUGGGCAACUGGUUCAAAAACCGCCGACAAAGGGACCGGGCGGCUGCAGCCAAGAACAGGUCGGUACCUAGAGGCCUACGCUCCUUGCGCUCACCCUGGUGGGUCGGGCGAAGGCGCCCCAGGGGCCCUUUCCCAGGGCCCAGCGACUUGGAUCCGAAGGAGUUGAGAGCUCAGUCUGUCUUCAGUUAUGAGCCCACUGCGUUCUGGGAUCCUGGGCGGGUAAGGGGGGCGGGGGGCGGGGGGAGUUCCUUCCGGGCUCUUGGUUCUCCAUUCUCUCCCUCAUUCUUGGAACUUAGGGGGUCGCCCCAGCCGCUGGUUCCAGUCAUAAAACCAAGGCUGCAUUGAAAAGAGGAAAGAUUAAACAUUAAAAUGUGUAAACAUUAAAAUUCCAGCAACAUUUAGGGACCCCCAAGGACCAAAGCUAAUUCUUGUCAGCCUGGGCCCAGGCUCCUAUUAAGCGAAGCCUGACUUAUUAGCAAUGUGGCAGUAUUGUAAAUCUCACAAAGGCGGCCAACAACCGCGAACGAACCUGUGAGCCCAGCAU
Prionailurus viverrinus (fishing cat) is the source of this 1354-nucleotide RNA transcript. It is a transcript of the gene named SIX homeobox 6, with no coding region annotated. The record is from RefSeq and is a predicted model, not a curated record. The transcript has 2 exons. Lineage: Eukaryota; Metazoa; Chordata; Mammalia; Carnivora; Felidae.